GGGUUUCUAAUCUCAUAUUCUAGAAACAUUACUUUCAGUCACGUGUGUUUCAGUGUUUAUUUCACAGGUGGAACGAACAUCUAGAAAGGAAUCUUUAAAAGAAUAAUACAAUUUGCAAAGCAAACGAUUCUCGAACAAACAAGACAAGAUUUAGCGUGCU
This is a non-coding RNA of Nomia melanderi (Alkali bee), 160 nucleotides long. Lineage: Eukaryota; Metazoa; Arthropoda; Insecta; Hymenoptera; Halictidae. The record is from RefSeq and is a predicted model, not a curated record.